Molecule: small nuclear RNA, 116 nt
Organism: Pantherophis guttatus
Lineage: Eukaryota; Metazoa; Chordata; Lepidosauria; Squamata; Colubridae
Product: U5 spliceosomal RNA
Source: RefSeq, a predicted model, not a curated record
AUACUCUGGUUUCUCUUCAGAUCGUAUAAAUCUUUCGCCUUUUACUAAAGAUUUCCGUGGAGAGGAACAUUUAUGAGUUUCAAUUAAUUUUUUGCCAAUAACUUCUGAGGAGAUUA